AGUGAACGCUGGCGGUAGGCCUAACACAUGCAAGUCGAACGGCAGCACAGUAAGAGCUUGCUCUUACGGGUGGCGAGUGGCGGACGAGUGAGGAAUACAUCGGAAUCUACUUUUUCGUGGGGGAAUAACGUAGGGAAACUUACGCUAAUACCGCAUACGACCUACGGGUGGAAGCAGGGGAUCUUCGGACCUUGCGCGAUUGAAUGAGCCGAUGUCGGAUUAGCUAGUUGGCGGGGUAAAGGCCCACCAAGGCGACGAUCCGUAGCUGGUCUGAGAGGAUGAUCAGCCACACUGGAACUGAGACACGGUCCAGACUCCUACGGGAGGCAGCAGUGGGGAAUAUUGGACAAUGGGCGCAAGCCUGAUCCAGCCAUACCGCGUGGGUGAAGAAGGCCUUCGGGUUGUAAAGCCCUUUUGUUGGGAAAGAAAAGCAGCAGGUUAAUACCCCGCUGUUCUGACGGUACCCAAAGAAUAAGCACCGGCUAACUUCGUG
This 493-nucleotide ribosomal RNA is filed under the name uncultured bacterium. Its description in RNAcentral is "partial 16S ribosomal RNA". It matches the Rfam family "Bacterial small subunit ribosomal RNA", at positions 29 to 507 of the family's 1533-position model. The record is from RNAcentral.